This 909-nucleotide ribosomal RNA is filed under the name Paraconiothyrium cyclothyrioides. RNAcentral describes it as "LSU rRNA". It matches the Rfam family "Eukaryotic large subunit ribosomal RNA", at positions 38 to 964 of the family's 3401-position model. Lineage: Eukaryota; Fungi; Ascomycota; Dothideomycetes; Pleosporales; Didymosphaeriaceae. The record is from RNAcentral.
GCAUAUCAAUAAGCGGAGGAAAAGAAACCAACAGGGAUUGCCCUAGUAACGGCGAGUGAAGCGGCAACAGCUCAAAUUUGAAAUCUGGCUCUCUUUGGGGGUCCGAGUUGUAAUUUGCAGAGGAUGCUUUGGCAUUGGCGGCGGUCUAAGUUCCUUGGAACAGGACAUCGCAGAGGGUGAGAAUCCCGUACGUGGGCGCCUGCCUUUGCCGUGUAAAGCUCCUUCGACGAGUCGAGUUGUUUGGGAAUGCAGCUCUAAAUGGGAGGUAAAUUUCUUCUAAAGCUAAAUACCGGCCAGAGACCGAUAGCGCACAAGUAGAGUGAUCGAAAGAUGAAAAGUACUUUGGAAAGAGAGUCAAAAAGCACGUGAAAUUGUUGAAAGGGAAGCGCUUGCAGCCAGACUUGCCCGCAGUUGCUCACCUAGGCUUUGGCCUGGGGCACUCUUCUGCGGGCAGGCCAGCAUCAGUUUGGGCGGUCGGACAAAGGCCUCUGUCAAGUAUCUCCCUUCGGGGUGACCUUAUAGGGGAGGCGUAAUGCGACCAGCCCGGACUGAGGUCCGCGCAUCUGCUAGGAUGCUGGCGUAAUGGCUGUAAGCGGCCCGUCUUGAAACACGGACCAAGGAGUCUAACAUCUAUGCGAGUGUUUGGGUGUCAAGCCCGGGCGCGCAAUGAAAGUGAACGGAGGUGGGAACCCUUUGGGUGCACCAUCGACCGAUCCUGAUGUCUUCGGAUGGAUUUGAGUAAGAGCAUAGCUGUUGGGACCCGAAAGAUGGUGAACUAUGCUUGAAUAGGGUGAAGCCAGAGGAAACUCUGGUGGAGGCUCGCAGCGGUUCUGACGUGCAAAUCGAUCGUCAAAUUUGGGCAUACGGGCGAAAGACUAAUCGAACCAUCUAGUAGCUGGUUCCUGCCGA